GCACCACAAGGCGUGAAGCUUGCGGUUCAAUUGGAGUCAACGCCGGGAACCUUACCGGGGGCGACAGCAGGAUGAUGGCCAGAUUGAAGGUCUUGCUUGACAAGCUGAGAGGAGGUGCAUGGCCGUCGCCAGUUCGUGCCGUGAGGUGUCCUGUUAAGUCAGGCAACGAUCGAGACCCGCGCUUCUAGUUGCUACUGAGGAAGUUUUCCGAGGGGCACUCUAGAGGGACUGCCGUCGACAAGACGGAUGAAGGAGCGGGCUACGGCGGGUCAGUAUGCCCCGAAUCCCCCGGGCUACACGCGAGCUGCAAUGGCAGGGACAAUGGGUUCCGACCCUGAAAAGGGAAGGCAAUCCCUAAACCCUGCCUCAGUUUGGAUCGAAGGCUGGAACCCGCCUUCGUGAAAAUGGAAUGCCUAGUAAUCGCGUGUCAUCAUCGCGCGGUGAAUACGUCCCCGCUCCUUGCACACACCGCCCGUCGCUCCAUCCGAGUGGGGUUUGGGUGAGGCGUGGUCUUCUUGGCUGCGUCGAAUCUGAGUUCCGCAAGGAGGGAG
This 551-nucleotide ribosomal RNA is filed under the name uncultured archaeon. RNAcentral's name for it is "bacterial SSU rRNA". It matches the Rfam family "Archaeal small subunit ribosomal RNA", at positions 876 to 1429 of the family's 1478-position model. The record is from RNAcentral.